Molecule: ribosomal RNA, 155 nt
Filed under: Cornus oblonga var. glabrescens
Lineage: Eukaryota; Viridiplantae; Streptophyta; Magnoliopsida; Cornales; Cornaceae
Description: 5.8S ribosomal RNA
Rfam family: 5.8S ribosomal RNA
About the family: 5.8S ribosomal RNA (5.8S rRNA) is a component of the large subunit of the eukaryotic ribosome. It is transcribed by RNA polymerase I as part of the 45S precursor that also contains 18S and 28S rRNA. Functionally, it is thought that 5.8S rRNA may be involved in ribosome translocation.
Source: RNAcentral
GACUCUCGACAACGGAUAUCUCGGCUCUCGCAUCGAUNAAGAACGUAGUGAAAUGCGAUACUUGGUGUGAAUUGCAGAAUCCCGUGAACCAUCGAGUCUUUGAACGCAAGUUGCGCCCGAAGCCGUCAGGCCGAGGGCACGUCUGCCUGGGCGUC